RNAcentral lists this long non-coding RNA (7753 nucleotides) under Populus trichocarpa (black cottonwood). RNAcentral's name for it is "long non-coding RNA (PTRI_LNC000435)". The record is from RNAcentral. Lineage: Eukaryota; Viridiplantae; Streptophyta; Magnoliopsida; Malpighiales; Salicaceae.
AUGGAGAAUUAUCGUAUUGUAAUGAGAAGUUCCAGUUUUCCAGACUGCAACUGUAGAAAUGACAAGGACACCUGCUAAGAAGGCCAGUAAUCUGUCGUGAAUGAGGAAAUUCAUGGAUAGUGGCAGCGAGAUUUAGCAUGAAGCAUUUAACUUGUUUUCUCUAUUGUAAUUCAUGUCGCUAGAGGUAAUAGAAUUGCACUUGCACCUGCUGACUGCUGUUCUUUCCAGCAUUUAUAGAUCGAGAUAUGACUUGGUUGAAAGGAAAAAUCGCAGAGUCAACCUUGUUUUUUUUUUUUUAGUAGUUAAAAUUUUAUUAAGAAAAAGGUUACAAAAAUAAUAGUCUAACUUACAUCAGAUGAACAAGCAAAGAAAACAAAAGCACAAAAACUGUUGUAUGAAAUAGGAUAGAGCAACAAAUGGGGGGAGCAAACAAAUCAUAAGAAACCAACUCCUCCCGACUAAACAUUCUCUAUAUUAAGCUCUAAAGAGUUGGAAUCAAGCCUCAGCCAUAAAGCAAUACUUUGGCGCACCAUGGAGAAACAGAUUUGAAGGUUAGGGGCAGCGUCAUUAAAAAUAACAUCAUUUCGGUGAAGCCAAAGAUUCCAAACAACGAAUGAGAAAAGAAGAUGCCAUGAGAGAUUCUGCUGCUUGUCUUUAACCAUAGAAGACCAUUGGUAGCACAUAUCAACAACAGAUUUUGGAAAAACAGUGCAAAAGCCCCGAUUAGAAAGCAGUUUCAUCCAUAUAUUCCAAGUGAAGUGGCAGUGAAUGAAGAGGUGACUUGAAGAUUCCAAGCUUUUAUUGCAGAAAGCGCAUCUUGACUCAUGAAGGGUGAUGUAGUCAUGCUGAAAUAGAAAAUCUCUUGUGGUUACUUUGUCUUGGACAAGGAGCCAAAGGAAAAGUUGCACUUUUGGUGGGGUUAGUUUUAUCCAAAUAGAAGAUUGGAAUGGUUUGGCACCACCGUAGAGCAGCUGGUCCAUCAUUUGGAGCAAGAUUUUACACUGAAGAGGUCAUCGCUGUUGAGGGUCUAGAUUUUCUUAUCCAUCUUGUGGCAGAACAUUGGCUUGGAUUCCAGCAAGGAUGAUAAAAAUGAUAGUUGUUCUUGUUCAAAAUGAAAUAGAGGUCUGCGCCAUUGUAGGGACCAGAGCCAGAUUCCAUUGCUCCAUCUACCCAUGUCAGCCACCAAAGCAGAUUUAGAGAAAGACAAAAGAUAUAGCUUAGGGAAGGCUGUUUUGAGAGGUAGUCACCAAUCCAGUUAUCUAGCCAAAAUGAUGUUAAACUACCAUUCUCCACCAUGAAUUUGCAAUGAUUCGUGAAGACGUGGUGAGCGUCGGUUUGAACAAUGGACAUAAUAUCCUUCCAGAUCUUGGAGGGUUGGUUGUAGAAAAUUAGGAUCCCAUUCUCAUAAGCUGGAUUGUACAUUGAAGAGAUAAUCAUUUUCCAUAAACUUGUACCUGGGGAAGAGAGUCUCCAAAUCCAUUUUAGCAGCAGGGCUCUGUUUUUUGAUAUAAGGGAGCUUACACCGAGGCCUCCUUAUUUCUUAUUGCGCAUCACUAGUCUCCAUUGGAUCUUGUAGAAAGAUCUUUGCUUGGUACAUCCAUACCACAAGAAAGGUCUUUGGAUGGAUGAAAGAAGCCUGCCUACCCCUUUUAGCAUCUUGAAUACAGACAUAAAAUAUAUAGACAGGGAAUUAAAGACACUUUUAAUGAGACAUGCUUAGUAAUCUUCCUUUUCACAUAUGAAGCCUUUUACGAAACUUCUCUAUCACUGGCUUCCAUGUAGAGAUACAAGAUGGAUUGGCUUCUAGUGGCAUGCCAAGAUAUUUUCUUGGGAGGGAGUCUGAUAUGCAGAAAAUAGAUUUAGCCAAGCGCAAGCACAAGUGAUCGUCGACAUUGAUACCAAUAAUAGAGCUUUUAUGGAAGUUUAUAUGAAGGCCUGAAGUCAGAGCAAACCAUCUUAAAAUUCUUUUGACUUGAACUAACUUAUCAAUAUCUGUCAGGAUGAAUAUUAACGUGUCAUCUGCAUAUUGUAGAUGGCUGAUGAAAAUUCCUGAUGCAAAUUACAGCCCUUUGAUAAUAUUCCUACUAGAUGCCCUUUGAAAGAGGACCGAGAGGCCCUCAGCAGCUAUGUCAAACAGAAAAGGGGAAAUCGGGUCUCUUUGACGCAGUCCUCGCCGAACAGGGAAUUCUUUUGAAGGAGAUCCAUUGAUGAGGACCGAGAGUUUUGAUGAAGAAAGACAUUCAUAAAUCAUGGUUCUCCAUUUUCUGCCAAACCCCAUAUAACCCAUGAUAUAAUCUAGGUAAUCCCAGGAGACUGAGUCGAAGGCUUUAUAGAAAUCAAUCUUGAAAAUCAGACCUGCCGCUUUUCGAUUUUUUAGAUCACUCACCAGCUCAUUUGCAAUCAUAAAGCCAUCUAUAAUGUUGCGAUCUGCUAUAAACGCUGAUUGGUUAAUGCUAAUGAUAUCUUGCAUAACAGCUUUCAGUCUGGAUGCAAGGAUUUUGGCAAUGAUCUUGUAGAUACCAUGAAUCAUGCUGAUGGGCUGAAAAUCUUUAAACUCUAUGGGUUCUACUGUCUUGGAGAGGAUAAUUACGUAGGUUGUAUUGAUUCCUUUGGGUAGCCUUCCUGUUCUAAAGAAGCUUAAGACUACAUCGAGGAUGUCUUGAGCAAUAAAAUCCCAUGCUAAUCUAUAGAAUUUGAAGUUGAAACCAUCUGGUCCAGGACAUUUUGACCCAUCACAACCCCAUACACUGCGCUUCACUUUUUCCAUUGUGAUUUCCUGCUCCAGCCACUCAGAGGAUUCUUUAGAGAGGCAUUUGAAACCCAAAAGAUUUAACUACAGCUUUUUUUCAAAGAGGGAGUCAUACAGAUCAGAGAAAUAAUCCACAGCAGCCUGCUUAAUACCCUGCUGAGAAUCAAAAGUGUUGCCAUUAUGGUGGAUUUUAAGGAUAGAUGAUUUAGCCUUCCUGAAAUUAGCAAUCACGUGAAAAAACUUGUUAUUUCUGUCACCCAAUUUGCACCAUAUCUGUCUUGAUUUCUGCCUCCAAAUAGAUUCAAUGUGAUUGUUGCGAACCUAAGGUCUUUCAACAAAAAGUCUAAAUGCUCCUGCUCUUGGUCGGUUAAACCUUCUUCUUCACAUUUUUCCUCUAGUAUGUUGAUAGCUAAAAAGGUUCGUUGAAGGGCAGCUUCUUGAUUUCCAAAUUCAAGCUUAUUCCAUUGCCUCAAUUUGACUGCAAUAUGAUUGAGCUUUUUGAGAACUUUAAAGCGGCCAGGGUGAAGGGAGCAUGCAUCAUUCCAGAAGUUUUCAAUAAUGUGCUUGAAAUUUGGGUACUGAGUCCAAGAGUCCAAGAAACAAAAAGGACGCCAUUCAUGGUCCUGCAAGAAGUUAGAUAGAAUUAAAGGGCAAUGAUCCGAGAACUCUCUUGGAAGUCAUCGAAGAGAUAAACUAGGGAAGUGAAGAUGGCAGGAUGAGUUUGCGAACAUACGGUCCAGUUUGCUCUUGGACCCUCCUCUGAACUAGGUAAAAUAACCUUCUGCUAAAGGGUAUUCAGUGAGCUCACAAGACUGCAGAAAUCUGCUAAAAGAAUUUGAGCCUGCAGGAUGACAGAUUCCACUAUUUCUGUCUUUCUGUGAGAGUGUUUCAUUAAAAUCUCCUGGUAUUAUCCAGGGAACUUCAAAAGCAUGCUUAAGAAGAAUGAGAUCAUCUCAAAGUUUUUGUCUGUCCUGAUAGUUACAAGGAGCAUAAAUGCCAAUAACAAAGCAAUGAAAAUCAUUAUGAACAUGUUUACCAUAUAAAUCGAUCCAACCAUGACCAUAUUCAAUAUUAGAGACUUCAAAGUUAGUGUUUUUCCACAUAGCAAGCAAACCUCAUUUUGAUCCCUGAGCAUCAUCACUAAACCAAGUCACAUGAUUUUCAUUCCAAAUACGAGAUACAAAGCCAAUGAAACAAUUAGCUAGCUUAGUUUCCAGCAAUAAACAUAUAUCAAUCUUAUAUUCUGUUAUUAAUUUCGUGAUUCUUCUUCGUUUCCUCAUCAUGCCCAAGCCACAAGAAUUCCAAGAAAGAAUAUUCAUGACAAAAUUAAAAGAUCUAUCUGCAAGGACAUGAAUGAAAACUUACUAUUCAUUGUUGUUUCUGCCAAUUUUCCCUCUUCUUUUCUAGCUGCCUUAUGAUAAGCCCAUAAAAUUUUUUCAAGAGAGCUGAAUUACCAAGAUCCAGAGCUUUUCCCAAAUGGAUCAUUUUGUUGACUUCAUUGUGAGACGACUCCGCUGCAGAUUCCUUCAGGUUACAAGUAUUAUUUACCCUGAUAUAAGAGUCUAUAGAAGAUAUGCUUGCUAAAGAGUGCAGGGAGAUGAGACUCCCGGUAGAGGAUAUUUUCUUUAGUCUUGGUUGUUUGGUUGUUGUGGUCCAGUGUUGGUUGGGUGUAAGAGGCAGGUUUUGAGCUUUGCAGUGGGAUUCUAAAGAUUUAUCAUUGCUGACAGGGGUAUAAGGUUGUGGCGAGAAAGAGUCUCUUUUGAAGGCCAAGCUUUAAUGCUCCAGUGGCCUUGCUGAAUUCACAUCGUAUAAGACAAGGCCCGUUCUGCUUGGAGUUGAUUUUGGGAAAGCUUGUUGGUAGAGAAACAGUGGUGGGGAGUCCUAGUAGCCGCUAUUUCUGGAAAGAGAUCUUCAACAACCAUAUGUAGCUGUUAUGUGUUGUCAAUGACAUUUAUUGUGGCCGGAAAGCUAUGAUCGUAGACCUCAUAUGUCCUAUGUGGGUUGUGCUUUCUUGCCUCCAGCGUGUGUGCCUUGUCAUCAGCUUCAAAAUUCUUAUCAGCAAUAGCCAGCCUGCAAAUGUUGUCAUCUCCUGCCAAGUCAAAAGCCAGAUCAGUGUACACUUCAUCAUCUGAGUCACUGUCAGCAUCUUCUCCCUGAAGUAAUGUGGUUUGAAAUUCUGUCAUAGAGUAUGAAAUUCCUUUUGCCUCUGGAUAUCUUAAAGGGUCAAUCUCAUCUAGCUGUAUGUGUACUAACUUGGAGUUUAGCAUGAGAUCUAUAGAGUCGUGGAUCUCCGGCAAGUGAGUACCUAUAAGGAUUUUCACGCUGUGAAGUUCAGAGUUUAGCAUGAGAUCUAUAGAGUCGGGGAUUUCCGACCGCUGCAGAGUCAACCUUGUUGGGGAUUCCAAAGGGAAAAUAUGAUGGUUUAACAGUUAAGAUUUGGUCAUCAAUGCAAUUAGUUGAGGUUCGGGUUUGGAAGAGGUUAAAAAAACUGCAGCGGCCGGAGCCUAAUCUGAUGAAGAGUGGGUACCCUAGGUUGGUUCAGUGGAACAAAUUGAAACUGGAAGUUUAGAAUAUUUCCUUGGUUCUAGACUCUGAAAAAGAGAGUUUUAGCUCUGGAAAACUGGGAUUUCCUCAAGUUUUGUGGAGAAAAAGAAAUGUAGGAGACUGUUGGUUCUAGUUUGAAUGACGAUUUAAUGGCAUUUGCUCGACGCGUCAGGAUUUCAAUGCUGCGUGGAGUUGGCUUUUCAUAACAGUAUUGACCGCAUAGGGUUGCAAUGCAAUUCGGAACUGACGAAGAUCUUUCAGGGUUGUGUUGGUGAAUGCUCUAAUUUACAGACCUGAGAUUGCAUAGAGCUUCAAGCUUUUGUUGAAGAGCUUGAGCAGAUGAUCACACGAAUAAAAGCAGCAAGAUUAAGACUAAAAUUGUUAACCUAGCUAGUCUUCUUAGUGAGAAUGAUUUGCUUGAUUUUUUUUGCUUUGGUAGUUAUGUUAGCAACUCAAGUUUGGUUUUGAAAAAUGAAGCAGAUGAAAGUACUGUUUGGGCUUUAAGCUUUUCAUGACCACCCGGGAGAUUGAAUUUUUUUUUUAAUAGUAAACAGUGAAUUAUAUAUUUAACAGCUCCAUUAAGUAGGUGGAACUGAACGAAAAAUAAAAUACAAUGAAAAUAUAAAAGAAUAGAGAAGACCAAAGCGACGACGAACCUAACAUGGGAGAUUGAAUUCCUGGCUUCUCUUCUUCUGUUGGCUAUGCUACUAACAUGGUAGUAGAGCUUUGGACUGUCAGGCAUGGCGUCAGUAUCGCCAAAGAGAGCUUUAUGGUCUUUUUGUACUUUGAUUGAAGGCUUAGUUAAAGGACUAUAUUGCCCUUCAAAUAAAAAAUGAUAGAGCUUGUGUUUAGGGGCGCUUAGGUCUUUUCAACACGGUUAUUUUGUAAUUAUGUAUUUAGAUGAGGGGUAAUUAAGUCUUUGACCAUAUAUAGAAAAAAGAUUAAAAAAAUGGUUGAUGUGUGUCACGUACACAUUAGCAAGACGAAGGCGUCCACGCUCUUUCGGUGAUGUGUGUCGCCCCUCUUGGUGGUUAAAAGACUUCGUCAAUGAUGAUAUUUGAAACGGUAUUGGCGAGAUAAAUCAAAUAAUAACAAUAAAGGUGAUCAACAAUUAUUGAAGUUUUCACACGCGAUGAGUGGCUUACCUGUUUUUGGACAAAGAGUGUGGUCCACUUCGAUUACUAUUGGUAUUGAUGAUCUUUCUUGGUGUUAAUGAAUUCAUUUCACCAAAAUCUUUUUUAUAGACCUGAUAAUGUUAAAAUCGAAGAUUCAGUGUGUCUAUGAAGUUUUUGUUCUUUCUCUCUCUCUCUCCUUAUUGUUAUUUGCACAACACAUUUAAUUUUUUUUAAAAUGUUAUAUGUUUUUCUUAAGAAGAACUAUGAAUGUCGUGUUUUCAACUGCGAUAUAUAUCAAUUGUGUUAUUUCAUCAAUUAUUUUUCAAGUCAUGUUAUUUUUUUAUUUUUUUAUUAUGACAUGUAUUAAAUGUGCUAUUUCAUUAAUAGUUUUUUUUUCAAAUGUGUUAUUUUACUAUUUGUUUUUUUAAAAAAAAAACUAUGUUAAUUAUUGAGUGUUUGUUUUUUUAUUACAGUCUGUUUUUAAAAUUGCUUUUCGUAAAAAAAAACAUUAAAUUAAUGCUUUUUAGUGAGAAUUAAUAAUUUUUUUUCAACAAGAACUACGAUGUGUAUCAAAUGUGCUAUUUCAUUAAUAUAUAUAUUUUUUUCAAAAUGUGUUAUUUUACUAUUUGUUUUCUUUUAAAAAACUAUGUUAAUUAGUGAAUGUUUGUUUUUGCAUUACAAUUUAUUUUUAAAAUUGAUUUUUGCAAAAAAAAAAGCAUUAAAUUAUUUCUUUUAAAUUUUUUUGGAUGGUUUUGUAUGUUGAUAUAAAUAAUAAAUAAAUAAAAUUAUUUUAAAAUAUUUUCAAUUAAAAAACACUACACAACGUAAUAUCAAAUACACAAUUAAUUUAUAUUAUAAUUAAUGUUCGCAUCCGCCCAAUUCUCUUUGUGGACACAUAAAAUAUAUUCUAUUAAUGCAUGUAAAGUUAAUGAAUACAGUUACAAAAUGGUUUUCUCAAAAUUAUAAAAACAUGCCCCAUGGUUCAAUUAUAAAGCAUAUCUACUUUUCUGGCGCUGCUCUACGACAAUCAACGUUUUUCAAGGAAAACAUCGUGAAAUCUAGGGUUAAGACUAAGAAAGAAGAUGCAAGGUACAACAAUCAGAUUAGCGAGAAGAACAAGCAUCAAAGUUCUGGAUGGAGAAUUAUCGUAUUGUAAUAAGAAGUUCCAGUUUUCCAGACUGCAACAGUAGAAAUGACAAGGACACCUGCUAAGAAGGCCAGUAAUCUGUCGUCAAUGAAGAAAUUCAUGGAUAGUGGCAGCGAGAUUUAGCAUGAAGCGUUUAGCUUGUUUUCUCUAUUGUAAUUCAUGUCGCUAGAGCUAAUAGAAUUGCACUUGCACCUGCUG